This is a non-coding RNA of Equus caballus (horse), 708 nucleotides long. NCBI's taxonomy places the organism in Eukaryota, Metazoa, Chordata, Mammalia, Perissodactyla, Equidae. The record is from the annotation of a RefSeq genome assembly.
CCUGAAGACAAAGGGCUCGUCAUGGAGUUUGGGCUGAGCUGGAUUUUCCCUGUUGCUCUUUUAAGAGGUGUCCAGUGUGAGGUGCAGCUGGUGGAGUCUGAGGUGCAGCUGGUGGAGUCUGGGGGAGGCCUGGUGAAGCCUGGGGGGCCUCUGAGACUCUCCUGUGCAGCCUCUGGAUUCACCUUCAGCAGCUAUGCUAUGAGCUGGGUCCGCCGGGCUCCAGGGAAGGGCCUGCAGUGGGUCACAGGUAUUAACAGUGAUGGUGGUGGCACACACUACGCUGACUCCGUGAAGGGCCGAUUCACCAUCUCCAGAGACAAUGCCAAGAACACGGUGUGUCUGCAAAUGAACAGCCUGAGAGACGAGGACACGGCCGUGUAUUACUGUGCAAAAGACACAAUCAGCCUGCAGGAGUCUGGUCCUGGGCUGCUGAAGCCCACCCAGACCCUUACGCUGACCUGCUCCUUCUCUGGGUUCUCACUGACUACUUCUGAUAUUGGUGUUGGUUGGAUGCGUCAACCCCCUGGGAAGGCACUGGAGUGGCUCACCUAUGUUUGGUGGACUGAUGAAAAGCAUUACAACCCAUCUCUGAAGAGCCGGCUCACAAUCUCCAAGGACACCUCCAAAAACCAGGUGAUGCUGACAAUGACCAGUUUGGACCCUCCAGACACAGCCACAUAUUACUGUAUUCUUCCUGAGGGAGGAUAA